GACGAACGCUGGCGGCGUGCUUAACACAUGCAAGUCGAACGGAAAGGCCCUGCUUUUGUGGGGUGCUCGAGUGGCGAACGGGUGAGUAACACGUGAGUAACCUGCCCUUGACUUUGGGAUAACUUCAGGAAACUGGGGCUAAUACCGGAUAGGAGCUCCUGCUGCAGGGUGGGGGUGGGAAAUUUUCGGCUGUUGGGGAUGGACUCGCGGCUGAUCAGCUUGUUGGUGGGGUAGGGGCUUACCAAGGCUUUGACGGGUCGCCGGCCGGAGUGGGUGACCGGCCACAUUGGGACUGAGAUACGGCCCAGACUCCUACGGGAGGCAGCAGUGGGGAAUAUUGCACAAUGGGCGGAAGCCUGAUGAAGAAACGCCGCGUGCGGGAUGACGGCCUUCGGGUUGUAAACCGCUUUCGCCUGUGACGAAGCGUGAGUGACGGUAAUGGGUAAAGAAGCACCGGCUAACUACGUG
RNAcentral lists this ribosomal RNA (468 nucleotides) under uncultured bacterium. Its description in RNAcentral is "partial 16S ribosomal RNA". It matches the Rfam family "Bacterial small subunit ribosomal RNA", at positions 28 to 507 of the family's 1533-position model. The record is from RNAcentral.